AUGCUUCCGUCAAAAGGGGAUGCAAAUUUUGAAUGGGGUCUUAAUUGUAAUGCUAUGGAACACGCGAAAGAAAAAUGCAUUUCGUGUAAAAUAAUAUGCGUUUGCUGCCUGAUCGGACUCGGGGGGCAUUUGUUUAAUACUGCGCGUUCGUACACGGGAAAAUCCAGACUCAUAACUGCAUUGCUUGCGAGCGGUUGUGUGGGAUUAGCUGUGGGAGAGCUCUUUGACAAGUCACCCUUUAGGAGUUAUGAGUCACAACUUGGCAACGAAAGUAGCGGUAGAUCCUAAAAUUUCCGCUUACUUGAUGAUUUUUUUAGUUGCAACAUGUUUGUAUGUUUGCACCUUUGUGUUUGUGGGGUACGUUUUGGAUAUGUUCUAGACGUGAUCAUUACUUAUUAAAUCUAAACUUGUCUGUGAACAUUUAUGUGGUUGUUAAAUUACCUCUAUGUUUACAAAUAAAUUUUUAUUACAGGA
Molecule: long non-coding RNA, 474 nt
Organism: Cylas formicarius (sweet potato weevil)
Lineage: Eukaryota; Metazoa; Arthropoda; Insecta; Coleoptera; Brentidae
Exons: 2
Source: RefSeq, a predicted model, not a curated record